Molecule: long non-coding RNA, 9547 nt
Organism: Brassica rapa (field mustard)
Lineage: Eukaryota; Viridiplantae; Streptophyta; Magnoliopsida; Brassicales; Brassicaceae
Source: RefSeq, a predicted model, not a curated record
GUUUCGUUACGAAGAAUUUAUCAUAUGAUUUCCGACUGUGGGUGAUACGAUAAUUAUUCUCUUAAUAGUCACGCGACGUUUUUAGACAAAUCGUAGAUUGUCGUUUAGCCGUUAAGUGAUGGAGCGAUGGUUUCUCAAAUAGUUUGGCUUGGCGUGAAGGAUGUGUUCACUCAGAUAGCCAAGGAUGUUGUAGGUCAAGGAUUAGACCAUGGUACUUUAACGUUUAAGGUCAUUUUAGAUUGAUCAUCGAAAAUCAGAUCUUACAGGUUUGCGUUUGCUAUACAAAACAUAUUUCUUCAUAAAGCUUGUUAUGUUAACUUUAGAAAUUUUCUUCGUAAGACUUGAUAUGAUUGUACGAAGGAUUUUUCGUGUAAAUAAUGGGAACCGGUUUUACGAAGGUUGUAAAUAGGUGAUAUGUAUACAUAUGUCUUGUGCCGGCCUUUGGUAGAAGCGGAUGAAGCUCCCGCUUGCGGCCGAUUAUUUUACUUAUUAGUUUCGGCCACAUUUUAUAAAUAUUCUCUGUAGCUCAGUGGUAAACUCGUAUGUCUACAUUAUCUAUAGAGCACGGGUUCGACGGCUAAUGGCAGCUAUUACUUUUUAUUUUUUAUCUCUAUUUCUUUCUUUAAAAAGUGGCCAUAUUUUUCUUUUUUUUUUUCUUCUAGUCUUUUAAAUUCUAGGACCGGCUCAUAUGUCAAAGUAGUGUUGUUUCUGCGGGUUUUACGAGAAAAAGUUUCUGCAAUGAUUUCAAUCUUAGGUGACAAUUUCUUGGAGUUACUCAUGGAGUGUUACUGAAGUUUAUUUCAUUACGAUCUAGUCGUAGAAUGUUUUUCAUAAGUUUUUUGAGAGGAUUCUCAUGACACAUUAGUUUCUGAAUGAAUUGGUCAACCAGAGGUGGAUCUAGCUAACCAUCGGGAGGAAAGUGUUCCUUUUAAUGUGCACGAUGCUACAUCUAUUCCCGAGUUUUCUUCGUCGCAAAUGUUUUCGAUACUUUUCCGAAACACAAACCGAAUCGAACCAAACUAACUAUGGUUUAUUUCAAUUGGAAAAAUACUAGAACCAAACUAACCAAACCGAACCGAAAAAAUAACCGAAGUGCCUACCCCUAGUUGAAACUCAUCUUCAAAAUCUUUGUCUUCCAAAUAACUUGAAAAACUGGUCAUUCUUCUGAUUCUGAAAGCAUCUUCACCAUCUCAUAAUAAUUUUUAUUUAAUUUUUUUAAUCAAUAAUUUUUGCUAAUUAUAAAUAGCUCUAGUUUAAAAUUUAAAGUUUAUAUCAAAUUUCUAUUUAUUUUUACCAAUCAUAAUCUAGAUUUAUUUUAAAGGUAAAUAAAAAAAGUUAAAGAAAACUUUUUUUAUAUAAGUAAACAAUUUACAUCUUUAUUAUUUAUGCUGUAGAAUCUAUAAAAUUGAGAAAAUUAUUUAUAAUAUCAAAUAAAUUAAACAAUAUUAGAUUAAAUUUAUUAUUGUUUAGAUAUUAAUUUUACUAUAACGAUAAUAAUUUUUAUUUACUUUUGAAUACUUUAAAAUAAUAUAACUGUUAUUUAUUUAUUACGUAAAAUGAUAGUAAAUUUUGAUAAUAGAUGACUUAUUUAGUAAUAUAAAUGAUUUUAAUUGAAAAUAAUUAUGUAUAUAUAUAUAUAUAUCUCGCAUAAAUGAUUUUAAAAUAUGUAUAAUCAAAAACUUCCGAAUAUAUCCAAUUUAACUACAGCAAAAAUCGCUGACAAAAAAAAACUACAACAAAAAUCUUUAUUUAUGGCUCUGAAUGGUGAUUGCGGUUUGAGUGGUGCGGGACAAGCGGUUCAACUGCGGUGCGGUUUUAACAGUUAUAAAAACAUAUAGAUAUAUAGUAUAUAUAGAGAUUUUUGUUACUGUUAACUACGGGGCGGAGCGGGACAAUGGUCACUAUUCGAAGUUUAACAGCUAAAUUUUAUAAGCCACUAUCUAAUCAAUAUAAAGACUACGGUGCAUGUUUAUGACCUGACUAAUCUGAUUACGUUGUAAUAAUUGCUAAAUUUUUAUAGCCACUUUCUAAUCAAUAUAAAGACUACGGUGCAUGUUUAUGACCUGACUAAUCUGAUUACGUUGUAAUAAUUGAACAAUCUUUUAUGUCUUCUACUUUUUUUUUUGUCAACCGAAGAAGAAUCUUCUACUGACUCACAUAUAAGUGUAAAUGAGGUUUGACCUUUUCCUUUCGUCCGUUCAAAUGACGUGAGAGAUGGUACACGUUGGCUAAGAAGCCUGGAUUAUGAUUUUUGUUUUCAGAAAAGUAACCUGUAAGAUUAAAAUGAUAAAUUGAUUGUUAUUCAAAUAUUAAUUACAAAAUUAUUUAAAUUUAUAGUUAUUGAAAUUGACAUUUUACACUAUCCAUUUCAUUAAAAGUAUCAUUUAAGGUUUUUGCACACAAAUUAAAAAAAAAAUGCUAAAAUUUUCUGUUUUAUCCUUAAUUAAAACAUGAUUUUGUUUGGCUUUAUUAAUUAACGAGAUAAGAAUAAGAAAAAAACUGGAAAAAACAUCUAAUAUUUGCAUUAAUAUUAUAAAACGACUCUUAUAAUGAAACACAAUUUAAAAAUUAAAACGAUACUUAAUAUAAAACUGAUGGGGUAUAAAGUAUUAUGAAAUUGAGUGUUAUUGACAAUAUUUUAAGUUGUGAAUUUCCAAAGUUUACUAUUGAUUUUAGAGUAUUUGGAUAAAGUUUGUAAGUUAAAAAAAAAUCAAAUCACAUGAUUUUAGGUGAAACUCUAAAAUGAUUUAACCAAAAGCAUAUCUCUAAUUCUUAUAGAACUAUCUAAAUUUUUUUAAAAACUCAAAUUGAUCCACACUUUAGAUUUGAACGCAUUCCAUGUAUAGUAUUUUUUUCUGCUGCCAGCAAUUUAUAGGUAAAUUUGCUAAAUAAAACUAAUGUUUUUUUUAAUUAUUAAUACAUGUAUCCACUAAAAUAUUUUCUUUAUCACUCAUUAUGUUUCAAAAUGAUGUCACAUUUAGACAUUUUUUUUUGUCAGCAACUUAAAAAUAAACUCAUAUAGACUCUCUAAACCAAACUAGUAACUUCGCGUCCAUAUGGACAGCAAAAUACGAUUGAUUUCUUACACUGUGUGCGAGACUGUCCGUCCUUAAAUUCUGCGUCUAUGGUAUAUGAAUGAGCUUAGCUUGUGAAACUUCCUUCAAUAACUUUGAUAGUUUAGACAUUUAGAUAUUUAAAUUUUAAUAUAAAUAUAUUAUUUUUGUGAUUGACCCUUUCCCACAACUUUUAUCUAAUCAAAGUUUAAUAAAUACAAUUAAAAUCAUUCAUUUCUUAGAAAAUAAAAUUGUUUAAAAAGAUACAUUUAAUAUAUUUACUAUACAAUUUCUAAUUUUGUUUUACGGAAAACUUAUUCUCCACCAUUAUUAUUGCUCUUUUUAUUAUUAUAUUGUUCUAUAAAACUAUUAUUGAUUAGUCUUUAACUUUACUAGAGCUUUUUUAUGCGCGGAAUACGAGUUUUGAAUUAGUUAAAUUAAAAACCAAAUAUUUAUAUAUAUGAUUUUUGGGCAAAAAAAUAGACCCUUAUAAGUUUUUGUCACAAAAAUAGAUCUCAAAAACAAAAAUGACCAAAAUAGCACUUUUUAUUUUGAAAAUUGUUUUUAAAAAAAAAAUUUGAAAUCCUAUCCUUAAAACCCCACUCCUCAACUAUAAACCCUAAACCCUAAACAUUAAACCUUAAACCCUAAACUACACCCCUUAACUCUAAAACCUAAUGUCUAGAUUAAUUAAUCCUAGGGGUAUAAGUGUAUAUUUAAUUUUUUUGAUAAAACAUUUAAGUCUAUUUUGGUCAUAUUUUAUUUUUAAGGUUAAUAUUUGUGACAAAAACUUUUUUAAGUCUUUCUAUGGAAUUUCUCAUGAAUUUUUGCGUAACAUAUUAUUUAUACCUAAAUUUUGGAUAGUUGUUUUUCACACCAAUUUAAGCUGAAAAUGUGUAAUACUUUCCAAAUUUUAAUUUUGAUUUGUUUUUUUUCAAUUGUGUCUUAGAGUUUAUGUUAUCGUAAAAUAGAUUUACAACCAGAAAAUAACAGAAUUUUUAUAUACAUUUGAUGUAAUCAAUUUUUCUUUAUUUAAAAAAAAAUUAUUUUAAGCUUAUAAAGUUUUUAAAAAGAAUUCAGUGUUAAUUGUACAUACAGUUUGAGUCAUUUUAGUUAAAAUGUUGAAAUGUUAUCAUAAAUAAUACAUGGGAACAAAUUCUAGGGAAAUUGCCAAAAAUACCAUAUUCAUAAUACAACUUUUCAUGUUUACACUAAUCAUUUUACCCUUACUUUUAAAGAGCAAAAAAACAUUUAUAAAUAUAGAGUUGAGGGGUGGAGAAGGGUUUUUGGAAUAUGAAAUUUAGGAUUCUAAUAAAUAUAUAAAUAAAUACUUAAAAAUAUAUUAAAAUUUUUUUAAAAUAGUUUCAAAAAUAAUUUACGAUUUUCAAAGAGAAAUUUUGAAAAACAAAAUUUCAAAAUUUUUUUUAUAAAAAUUCGAAUUUGAAAAAGUAUAAUUCGAAAACAUAUUAAUAUAUAUAUUUAGUUUUUUAGUUAUUUAUAUAAUUAUUUAUUAUAUAUAAAGAGAACAAGGGUAUAAGAGUCUUUUGCAUCUUAAUGAAGAAUGUAUUUUUGAAAAUAUCUCUUUAAUUGUGGUAAACAAGAAUAAUGAUACAAAAAAAGUGGUAAACAUGAAAUUUUGUCCAAAUUCUAAUAAGGUUUUCCAGUUUGUUAUACUUUUUUUUGUUCUAUUUGUAUUUAACCCUCUAGUAAGCUUGGGCAUUCAGAUCUUAGGGUCAAGUUCAGGCCGGUGCUCCUCUCAAGUCUGGAUCCUUUGGGUCCUAUAAAUUUGGACCCAAUAGGUAUUUGUAAAAUUUCGGUUUGGAUAGUUUCUCCUCGGUUCCAGGUCGGUUUAGAUCUAUAAUUAAAAUACAUAUAAAUAACCCGUAAUUUUUGGGUCCGUAAUCGGGUUCAGGUAUUUACGAUUUGAAAAAGACACAAACUACGCAAACCCAAUCAAAUUUAGUCAAAAUCUAUCAUAUAUAUCUAAAAUUUUACAAAAUAACUUCAAAUCUAUCUUAUUAAAACAAAAACAGUGUGUUGGACCUAACGUUUAUUUUGUAAGUUUUUAAAUUAAAAAUUCCUUUCAACUUUAUAGUUAAACUUACAUUAAAUCACUAAUAUACAUUUCUUCGUACUACUAUCCGUAUUGCCAAACAAUAUACUUCUUUCUUUAUACUACUAUCCAUGUUUUCAAACAACAUUAUAAUUAAUCUUUUGUUAAAACAAUAUAAAAUAUUAGUCAUCAUCAUUUUAUAAUUUCAACAAAUUUUUUUCUUCAAAUUAUUUAGAUAAAUUAAAUAAUGAAAAGAAUUCAAAUUUUUUUAAAACAACGAAAAAUAAAUAUAACUUAUUUUACAGGUUUAAAUACUUCAAAAAUUAAAUAAUAAAUAAAUUAAAUUAAUGGAUUAUUUUAUUUAUAUUUCCUAAACAAUGGUUAUAUUAUUGAAGUAACAGAAUCAUUAAAUAAUAGCCAUAACAUAAAAUAAAUAUAUAUAUAUAUAUAUAUAUAAAUUUAUACAUUGUACAAUAAUAUAAUAAAAAAAUAGUUAUGUAAAAUGUUCAAUAUUAUAAUAUAAACCAAAUUAUUAACAAGAUAAAUUACACAAAACAACUACAGUAAAAUUAAUUGAGCUAUAUAAAAAGGAGUAAUAUGUUCAAGACAUAUUUAUAGUUCUUAAUUAUUUGAUAUCUAUCAUUUUCUCUAUCAAAUUUUGUAGAAACGUCAUAAUUUUAUAAAAUUUCAAAAAAAUGAACUUUAAAUUUGGAUUAAAAAGUGACAAAUUAUGAAACUAUAAUAAUGUAAAUCAAAUUGGAUUACAUAUCGGUCAUCCAUCGGUUCAAUCAGCUAGUCUCGGGUUUUAGUGAUUUUUUAAAUAUGGAUAUUUUUUAAAACACUGACUUAAAUGCAAAAAUAUUUUUAAAAAAUUUUGGUUUUUACAAAUUAACAAAAUAUUUAUUAAGUUAUUAGUAAAAAAUUUCAUCAUAGAAUAUUAUGCGCUCGCAAAGCCGAUCAAAAUCUAGUGAACUAUUAAAAUAUAAUAAAACAUGUUAAACUCUAAAUUUUAUAUUUAAAGUUUCAUAUUACUUAGGAAUGCUACACAAUUAGAACAAAUAUGGUAACAAAAAAAAUAUUUCAAGUAAAUCAUAAAAUAAAAUAUAGAAAAUAGAGCACAAAAAAUUAUAAUUUUGGAUAUUCAUGUCAUUACAUUUAGAUAACUCCUAAACAUAAUCUAAUUCCAUAUCUCGGUAGGAUUAGGUCUCUCUCUUGUUUUCUUUUUUCUUCAAGCUUAAUCUAACAUUCUCCCCCUUAAGCUUGAACUCCAUCUUCGACAAGUCUCGAACUUCAAUGAGUUCUCUCAUUUCCUUGAACUAGAUUCUUCCUAGUGCUUUCAUCAAGAUAUCUGCCUUCUGCUCUGUCCCGGGAACAUGCUCGACUUCUAUCAAACCUUUCUCCACACAUUCUCUAAUAAAAUGAUAUCGAGUAUAUAUGUGCUUUGAUCAGCCAUAAAACACUGGGUUUCUCGUGAGCGCAAUGGGGGAUUGAUUGUCUAUGCCUAUGACCGUCUUCUUGCAUAGUAACUCACUAAUUUCACCAAGUAAAUCCUGCAACCAAAUCGCCUGACGAGCUUCUUCUGUACCGGCCAUGAACUCUGCUUCACAGAAAGAUAGUGCCACAUUAUUUUGCUUCUGCGAACACAAUGAUAUAGGACUUUUGCCUAGGUAAAAUACAUGACCUGUCGUGCUCCUACCAUCAUCCUGAUCCACAUUGUGACUUGAGUCACAAUAGCCAACAAGACGUGUAGUUCCUGCCGUUGUAUUCUCAAACGUCAGACCAUAGCUCGUGGUUCCUUGUAUGUAUCUAAGGCAUUGCUUCAUUGCUGCUCCAUGAGAUUCUUUCGGUCAUGCAUAUACCGGCUAGGUACUCCUACACAGUAAGACAGGUCCGCACGUGUGUGUAGCAGGUAAAGCACUCAUGAUCUAUCCUCCAGUUUCUUCAGGUGUGGUUUCACCACUUUCGCGUAGCUAAUGAGAACGUUCACAUGUGACUUAGAUUAGGUUUACUUCCCCGAUAAGCUUCAUAAGGAGUCACGUCUUUAAGUACCCUAGUAGCCACAAGAUUCAAUAUGUACGUUGAAUGCCUCACUGCCUCAACGUACAGAGCUGAUAAGUGACGUUUGAUCCCUGCUUGAUCGCAGAACUCAUUAAACUCUCGAGAAGUAAACUCUCCUCCUCUAUACCCUCUGCUUUGAAUCAUGUUCUACCAUCAUCUUAAACCUCUUGAACUUCUCAAAGAAAUUGCUCUUCUCCUUCAAAAAUAUGGUCCACAUGCAUAGAGUGUGGUCGUCAAUGAGCACAAACACGCACUUGUUCCUACGAAGUGUGCUUGGUGUUAUAGGUCCGCACAAAUCACCAUGGACAAGCUCAAGUGCUUUGCUAGCUCUAUACGAUGUUGCUUUCGGGAAGGUUUUCCUUGUUUGAUUUCCGAGAAGGCUUGAACUGCAUAUCCUCCACGACCCCUACCUUUGUAAGACCUUCCUCCUCGUCUUCUUUUUCCUCGGUAAUCAUUGUAGUACUCACGAGAGGAUUGGGAAUCCGUGUUGGUAUACAUGAGUUUCCCUUGGUCUUCUUGGGCUUCUUCUUCUUUGGUAGCUCUUUCUUCAUACGCCUUUAGUCGACCAACAAUGUCUUCAGAACUGGUGGUUUUAAGAUCAAGCACUUGUUUGAGUGAUGCUAUGAUGUGUAUGUAUUUCUUUCGAGGGAGACUCUUAAGAAAUUUCUUGACCAGUUUUGAUUCUUCAAUUUCUUCUCCUAGGGCAGCAGACUUUGACAAAAUUUCAGACAGCUUUCCGGAAAAAUCAUCUAUCUUCUCGGCAUCUUUCAUUGUAAGUCUGUCGAACUCUGACAAUAAGGUCUGUAGUUUUGCUUCUUUAACUUGAUCUUCACCAACAUGUCAUGCCCUGAUAUCAUCCCAUACCUUCUUUGCCGUAUUAAACUCCCCGACUUGCAGCACCAAGGUCUAGGGUAUCACUUGAAACAACAAACCAACUGCAAUGUCGUUUUUAUCUUCUUCCUCUAUUGUUGUUUCUACGAUGCUCCAGACUUUAUGCACCUUAAGUAAGUUCUUCAUUCUAAUGGCCCAUACGGUGUAGUUCAUAGAGGUUAACGUUGGACACUUGAUCGAAGGAUCUCCUUCUUUUGGUUUCGAUGUUGUCAUUAUCGAUAGAUCUCCCAUAGAACACAAACUCUAGCUCUGAUACCAAAUAUUGAAUUCAAAGAUCAAUAAGAAUAUCUCUCUUAUUAUUAGCUUAAGAAAAUAUGCUCAAAACAUAAGCUCUCAAUCUCUAAACUCUUGUAAAUUAUGUCACACUUUGACAUCUCCAUAUGUAGAGUUUAUUAUUCCUAAUCCUAAUAGUCAUUACAUUUAGAUAACUCCUAAACAUAAUCUAAUUCCAUAUCUUGGUAGGAUUAGGUCUCUUGCUUGUUUUGUAAGUUUCUUUUUUCUUCAAGAUUAAUCCAACAACAAAUGGUAAAGAACGUGUAUAGUCUCAUUCAAUCAAAGGCUCAAAGCUAUAUAAAUCAAGAGAGUCACUCGUCUGUGUAUCGCAUCUGUGUGAGUACUUAAAACGAAUUGAUAUCAUCUUAGAAGUCUAUCACAUCUGUGUGAGUACUUAGGUUGUUUUUUAUGGGUGUAAUGAAAGAAUAUGUUGUUUUUCCAUACUCUGUUUUUGUAAAGAAAAACAGUGUCUGUAAGUUCCCAUGUUUUUUAUAAUAAGUUUCAUCAGAAAUUUGAUCUCGAAAAAUACCCCGAAAAAUGAUACCAACAAUCUACCAAGAAGAUCAUCCUUCAGUAACUUUCCAAGGAUUUGACGACAUAUCUAAUUCUCCGAGAGUCAAAGUCCGAUGACUUGCUAUUUCUAGGAACAUCAUCGGAAACUGUCCACUCCGACUUCAACUUUGCGAAAAUUGUGUUAGGCAGGUACAAGGCAAAAAGAGAAAUUCCAUAGGAUAGUCAUUUUAACUUUAGUUUCACAAAAAUAGCUUUCAAAGAGAAAAAUGAUCAAAAUAUGUUUUAUUGAAAGGUAAAUAUACAUUUAUAGCUAGGGUUAACUAAUCUAGAAGUAGAGGUUAAGUUAAAAGGUGGGGUUUUGAUGGUGAAGUUUCAAAAUUUUAAAAGUAAAAAUAAAUAUUAAAUUUUUCAAAAUAAAAACAGGCUAUUUAAAGUAAUUUAUAAUCAUUUUAAAAAUUGAAAGCAAAUUCCAGAAUUAAAAUAUUAAGUUCUCGAUUGUUUUUCAUUGCAAAUAUCAAAAUAAAAGUAUGUGUUUUUAUAUGCUCUGUAGUUUAAUUUCUAUAUAUAUAUAUAUAUAUAAACACCUAUUAAAUAAGAUUUCUUACUCAUGUGGUUUAUAAUCAUAUGUAUCUUAUUAUAACAAAAAUUUUAAACCAUUGAUUACAAAAUUUAUGUGAGACUUUUAAUAGUUUAGUAAUUUAUAUUC